GACUUCUCUUGGUCUCCACUCAAGCUUGAGUGUUCUUUCCUUUCUCAAUCCUCACUAUCCAACUCAGGCAUGUUUGUGAUGUGACGGCCGGACUGCCACAAGUGGCGCCCGAACAGGGACCUGAGUAUCGAGGGAUCCAGUGAAGGACACCACAGAGAAGAAGGAGACCUCAACAAAAAGGCGAAGACAGUGAUUACACAGCUGAUAUGACAUAAAUAUCUGCCUUACCUUCUCAUUCCCAGGCCAAAGUAUCUGACAACCACA
Molecule: long non-coding RNA, 264 nt
Filed under: Fukomys damarensis (Damara mole-rat)
Lineage: Eukaryota; Metazoa; Chordata; Mammalia; Rodentia; Bathyergidae
Description: lncRNA (ENSFDAG00000025004.1)
Source: RNAcentral